GACUAUGGAUCUUCGAAAGCAUCCUCCUUUCUCAACAUUUACUGAACAACAAGCAGACCCAACAAAUAAAAAUCGAACCUUUACUUCAAAUAUCUUCAAGUAUCAACGAUCUAGACAAAACCAAAGUGAGCUAGGGUUCAGACAAAUCCAGAUGAAAAGAUUUUGAUUUGAGGGUAAGUGAAGAUCUAGAAGUGGAAUUGUUG
This 203-nucleotide long non-coding RNA is filed under the name Brassica napus (rape). RNAcentral's name for it is "long non-coding RNA (BNAP_LNC014869)". Lineage: Eukaryota; Viridiplantae; Streptophyta; Magnoliopsida; Brassicales; Brassicaceae. The record is from RNAcentral.